CGCUGAAGGCAGAGCCGCGGAUGUUGGUCGCUCCUCAUAACAGAAAUAUCUCUGGCAGCGGAAUUCGUGGCUGACGCGAAUUUUUCAUCUUCUGCUUUGUAGUUCAAUUCAUCACAACUAUAUUUUAAUAUAAACAUAAUUUUAAAAAGUGUGUGAUAUUAAAGAAGUAGCGCUUGACCAUCAAAGGCACUGUAAAUCAUAAAGGAAGCACAUGUCGUAAACGGUGCUGUUAGCGGAAGUUGCGUACGUUCUGCGUCUCAGUUCAUCUGGUGUCUUCCGGCAGCGAGGAGCCGCGUGUGAGAGAGCCGAGUUCCCGCCGAAAGAUGCACCGCUGGUGAAGGAGCGUCUCUAGGAUCAGCAGAUGAUCUGUUUGAAGCACAGCAGUUCAGACCAGCAUGUAAUUCAAUGCAUUUCUGAUGCAUGCCACUGCUCUUACUGUUAUACACGUGUCCCAACCUGCAUUUAUUGCCAUUUCACUCAGAGAUGCAUCAUAAUAUUAAUGUAUAAUCAGGCACAGCUUCUGUUUUAUGCCGUCUGAUGAAGCUGAGUUUAUACCUCAUUAUGUGUAGAUUAUGUCAAUAAAGCUUCUGGCGUGUUUUAAAGAU
This is a long non-coding RNA of Sinocyclocheilus rhinocerous, 605 nucleotides long. RefSeq lists it as uncharacterized. The record is from RefSeq and is a predicted model, not a curated record. Lineage: Eukaryota; Metazoa; Chordata; Actinopteri; Cypriniformes; Cyprinidae. The transcript is spliced from 2 exons.